This is a long non-coding RNA of Pundamilia nyererei, 313 nucleotides long. RefSeq lists it as uncharacterized. The transcript has 3 exons. NCBI's taxonomy places the organism in Eukaryota, Metazoa, Chordata, Actinopteri, Cichliformes, Cichlidae. The record is from RefSeq and is a predicted model, not a curated record.
UUCUUACAUCUCGACGACAUCUGGGUGUCAAGGCGGGCUAAAAGAAAAAAUAGACGAGCUUGGCUCCAUCGCUGACAACUUGAAUAAGGUUUCAAAGGGGACAAAAAUCGCUGGCAUCACAGGAGGCGCUACAACUGUAGCAGGAGGUGUGGCAGCAGCUGCUGGGGUGAUCCUGUCCCCGUUCACGCUGGGAGCCUCGCUGGCACUAACUGCUGUCGGGGUCGGCGUGGCUGCAGCCGGCGGUGUUACUGGUGCAUCAGCAGCCAUCGCAAAUAAGGUGAAAUGCAACCAGGACCAGAAGAAAAUUGACAAG